This 442-nucleotide ribosomal RNA is filed under the name uncultured bacterium. RNAcentral's name for it is "bacterial SSU rRNA". It matches the Rfam family "Bacterial small subunit ribosomal RNA", at positions 339 to 797 of the family's 1533-position model. The record is from RNAcentral.
CUACGGAAGGCGGCAGUAGGGAAUAUUGCUUAAUGGGCGCAAGCCUGAAGCAGCAACGCCGCGUGUGCGAUGAAGGCCUUCGGGUUGUAAAGCACUUUUUACCGGGAAGAGGAAGGACGGUACCGGUAGAAUCAGCCUCGGCUAACUACGUGCCAGCAGCCGCGGUAAAACGUAGGAGGCGAGCGUUAUCCGGAUUUACUGGGUGUAAGGCGCGUGCAGGCGGUUUGCUAAGUUGGGUGUGAAAGCUCCUGGCUCAACUGGGAGAGGUCGCUCAAGACUGGCAGACUGGAGAGCAGUAAGGGAAGGUGGAAUUCCGGGUGUAGUGGUGAAAUGCGUAGAUAUCCGGAGGAACACCAGUGGCGAAGGCGGCCUUCUGGACUGCAUCUGACGCUCAGACGCGAAAGCUAGGGGAGCAAACGGGAUUAGAUACCCCAGUAGUCCG